This 373-nucleotide ribosomal RNA is filed under the name uncultured bacterium. RNAcentral describes it as "bacterial SSU rRNA". It matches the Rfam family "Bacterial small subunit ribosomal RNA", at positions 957 to 1331 of the family's 1533-position model. The record is from RNAcentral.
UAACGCGAAGAACCUUACCUGGUCUUGACAUGUACGGAAUCUUCCAGAGACGGAAGAGUGCCUUCGGGAGCCGUAACACAGGUGCUGCAUGGCUGUCGUCAGCUCGUGUCGUGAGACGUUGGGUUAAGUCCCGCAACGAGCGCAACCCUUGUCAUUAGUUGCCACCAUUCAGUUGGGCACUCUAAUGAGACUGCCGGUGACAAACCGGAGGAAGGUGGGGAUGACGUCAAGUCCUCAUGGCCCUUAUGACCAGGGCUUCACACGUCAUACAAUGGUCGGUACAGAGGGUAGCCAAGCCGCGAGGUGGAGCCAAUCUCAGAAAACCGAUCGUAGUCCGGAUUGCACUCUGCAACUCGAGUGCAUGAAGUCGGAA